RNAcentral lists this ribosomal RNA (477 nucleotides) under uncultured bacterium. Its description in RNAcentral is "partial 16S ribosomal RNA". It matches the Rfam family "Bacterial small subunit ribosomal RNA", at positions 30 to 507 of the family's 1533-position model. The record is from RNAcentral.
AUUGAUCGCUGGCGGCAUGCCUUACACAUGCAAGUCGAACGGUAACAGGUUAAGCUGACGAGUGGCGAACGGGUGAGUAAUGUAUCGGAACGUGCCCAGUCGUGGGGGAUAACUGCUCGAAAGAGCAGCUAAUACCGCAUACGACCUGAGGGUGAAAGCGGGGGAUCGCAAGACCUCGCGCGAUUGGAGCGGCCGAUAUCAGAUUAGGUAGUUGGUGAGGUAAAGGCUCACCAAGCCGACGAUCUGUAGCUGGUCUGAGAGGACGACCAGCCACACUGGGACUGAGACACGGCCCAGACUCCUACGGGAGGCAGCAGUGGGGAAUUUUGGACAAUGGGCGCAAGCCUGAUCCAGCCAUGCCGCGUGCGGGAAGAAGGCCUUCGGGUUGUAAACCGCUUUUGUCAGGGAAGAAAAGGUUCUGGCUAAUACCUGGGACUCAUGACGGUACCUGAAGAAUAAGCACCGGCUAACUACGUG